RNAcentral lists this small RNA (145 nucleotides) under Flavobacterium weaverense. RNAcentral's name for it is "Flavo-1 RNA". The record is from RNAcentral. Lineage: Bacteria; Pseudomonadati; Bacteroidota; Flavobacteriia; Flavobacteriales; Flavobacteriaceae.
UCUAAGCCCCAGAUCGAAGUAGAAAGCCGCGACAGUAAAAAAUCUAUUUUUUCUUGAAAAAAAAGAGCGCCCCUAGAAGCUCCUUUUUUUUCAUUAGAACAAAAGAUUUUUUGCAGAGCGCUUGAAACGGAUAGCUGGAAUAGGC